AUUGAACGCUGGCGGCAUGCUUUACACAUGCAAGUCGAACGGCAGCACGGGGGCAACCCUGGUGGCGAGUGGCGAACGGGUGAGUAGCACAUCGGAACGUGUCCAGUUGUGGGGGAUAACCCAUCGAAAGGUGGGCUAAUACCGCAUGAGCUGGCAACAGGAAAGCGGGGGACCCGCAAGGGCCUUGUGCGAUUGGAGCGGCCGAUGUCCGAUUAGCUAGUUGGUGGGGAAAGGCCUACCAAGGCUUCGAUCGGUAGCUGGUCUGAGAGGAUGAUCAGCCACACUGGGACUGAGACACGGCCCAGACUCCUACGGGAGGCAGCAGUGGGGAAUUUGGACAAUGGGGGCAACCCUGAUCCAGCCAUGCCGCGUGAGUGAAGAAGGCCUGGUGU
RNAcentral lists this ribosomal RNA (392 nucleotides) under uncultured bacterium. RNAcentral's name for it is "bacterial SSU rRNA". It matches the Rfam family "Bacterial small subunit ribosomal RNA", at positions 29 to 422 of the family's 1533-position model. The record is from RNAcentral.